RNAcentral lists this microRNA (21 nucleotides) under Mus musculus (house mouse). RNAcentral describes it as "mmu-miR-7116-5p". Lineage: Eukaryota; Metazoa; Chordata; Mammalia; Rodentia; Muridae. The record is from miRBase by way of RNAcentral.
UGAAGACAUCAGGAAAAAAAA